UAAAAUAUAAAUGAUGAUGCAAACUAUAAAAUACAAAUAUAAGUGCGAACUAUAAAAUAUAAAGACAAAUAAAAAUAUAAAAAAUGAAUACAAAUACAAGCGCGAACAAAAUAGAAGCGUAUAAAAUACAAAUACAAUUGUAUCAAGGAAUAAAAAAAUCUAAAUGAUGGUGCGAACUAUAAAAUACAUAUACAUGUGCGAACUACAAAAUACAAAUUCAAAUACAAACACG
This 232-nucleotide long non-coding RNA is filed under the name Capsicum annuum. Its description in RNAcentral is "long non-coding RNA (CANN_LNC002452)". The record is from RNAcentral. Lineage: Eukaryota; Viridiplantae; Streptophyta; Magnoliopsida; Solanales; Solanaceae.